This 253-nucleotide ribosomal RNA is filed under the name uncultured bacterium. Its description in RNAcentral is "partial 16S ribosomal RNA". It matches the Rfam family "Bacterial small subunit ribosomal RNA", at positions 524 to 776 of the family's 1533-position model. The record is from RNAcentral.
UACAGAGGUCCCAAGCGUUGUUCGGAUUCACUGGGCGUAAAGGGUGCGUAGGUGGUGAGGUAAGUCGGAGGUGAAAGCCCGGGGCUCAACUCCGGAAUUGCCUUUAAGACUGCAUCGCUAGAAUUGUGGAGAGGUAAGUGGAAUUCCGAGUGUAGAGGUGAAAUUCGUAGAUAUUCGGAAGAACACCAGUGGCGAAGGCGACUUACUGGACACAUAUUGACGCUGAGGUGCGAAAGCGUGGGGAGCAAACAGG